GGCUUCGUGGUUUAGUGGUAUAAUUCUCGCUUAGGGUCCACCCAAAGCAACGCUUGCGAGAGGUCCCGGGUUCGAUCCCCGGCGAAGCCC
This 90-nucleotide transfer RNA is filed under the name Claviceps purpurea (ergot fungus). Its description in RNAcentral is "tRNA-Pro". It matches the Rfam family "tRNA". From Rfam's summary of the family: Transfer RNA (tRNA) molecules are approximately 80 nucleotides in length. Their secondary structure includes four short double-helical elements and three loops (D, anti-codon, and T loops). Further hydrogen bonds mediate the characteristic L-shaped molecular structure. tRNAs have two regions of fundamental functional importance: the anti-codon, which is responsible for specific mRNA codon recognition, and the 3' end, to which the tRNAs corresponding amino acid is attached (by aminoacyl-tRNA synthetases). tRNAs cope with the degeneracy of the genetic code in two manners: having more than one tRNA (with a specific anti-codon) for a particular amino acid; and 'wobble' base-pairing, i.e. permitting non-standard base-pairing at the 3rd anti-codon position. Lineage: Eukaryota; Fungi; Ascomycota; Sordariomycetes; Hypocreales; Clavicipitaceae. The record is from RNAcentral.